This 251-nucleotide long non-coding RNA is filed under the name Panax ginseng (ginseng). Its description in RNAcentral is "long non-coding RNA (PGIN_LNC013906)". Lineage: Eukaryota; Viridiplantae; Streptophyta; Magnoliopsida; Apiales; Araliaceae. The record is from RNAcentral.
GUGAAGAAAAGGCUAAUCGAUAAAGGUCCCUAUCAAUAAGAACAAAGUUGGCGCUCUUGUAUUUGAUCUUUUUUGCCAACAUCUGAUCCGAAGGAAGGACGCCAUAUGCUAAAUACUUGAUGUAGGGGGUCAUCCAGCAGUUAGAUCGCUCGAUACACAUCACUGCUUCAUGUUGAACACUUGGCUGUUGUAGAACUUCCAAGUAAACAGAUCCAUUAAAAACAUCUGCAUCCGUAGUAGCCAACUUUGAC